This 1654-nucleotide unclassified non-coding RNA is filed under the name Hevea brasiliensis (rubber tree). Lineage: Eukaryota; Viridiplantae; Streptophyta; Magnoliopsida; Malpighiales; Euphorbiaceae. The record is from RNAcentral.
UUCUAUAAUUUACAAAGGUUUUGGGGGUGCAUUCAAUUUGUGUUCAAAUGCUUGAAUCAAUUUUAUUCUGGUUGCUGGAAUAUAAAUUAGAAUUGAAAGGGAAAAGUUAAUAAAUGUCAAUGCUGGAAUACUUUGGAGGUUAGAAAGAUCGGAGGAAGAAAAUGUGAAAAAAGCUGUGUGCAAUUGUUAAGCUGAGUUGAGCAUUUACUUGGUCACAGUCAGCAUGGUCACUAAACACAGAUGUAUGUGGCUUGUGUUCUAAUUUUCAUAAAUAUGGAUUUUUAAUUGAAGGGAUACAAUAUUAACCUUCUUAAAACUUGUAGCUACAGAGAUGAUGUUGGUAAUAACAGCACUGAAGUUUACAUGUCCCUUUCUGUUCAAUGGAUUUGAAAGUGGCUUAAUUGAUGUCAUUUGCAUGAUAGUGGUCUUAGAAAAAGAAAGACGAAAGAAGCUUACUGAUAGUGGACUUGAUAUUCAUGGAUUGUAGAGCAUAAAACUUCUUCAACGCAAGGAAAAUGCUGUCAUCAGAUGACAUUUGGAGAGUCUUUCUCUAGAGACUUUUAAUUCUGUAAGUCUCAUCACCAUCAUUUCUUUUACUUUAGUUUACCAUGAGAUUAGAGAUGAUCAAAUUAGGAUCUCAGCUACAAUUUAGGAGGUCUUGCCAGAUAAAGAUUACUCUUCAAUAGAAGUCACUGAAUCCCAUGUUAGGUCACAGAAAGUAUUUGGAAGGAAAUAAGCUUUAGUAGAUACGGGGGUCAAUUGACUGAACUGAUUGUGGAUAAAAUUUGUGUGCCAGCUAAACAAGAAUAAUUCACUAUCUCCCUUAUAAUACAUUAUCAUUAGCACUUUCUUCCAAACAAGAAUCCCCUUAGCUCCCCCACUCUCUCUUUUCUUCCCCCAGACAAAGAAGAGCACUCCUUGUUUUACCAUUUGAGAGUACCUAUUGGCAAAAGGGACACCAAAUGAAAGUAGCAUUGGCUAAGGCAGCCCAGAGGAUGGACCUGAAAUACUUUUUAAUGCCAGUGGUCACUGGUUGGUAAUUAGUUCAAUAAAGCUCAAGGAAUUUUGUUCAGAAGUAUCCUUUCAUGCCACUGUUCAAAUAAAAGCUCUGACCAUACCUCUUGUUUUAGAGUACUCACCUUAGUUGCAAACGGUCAUAUCUGAAAUCCAAGCAUUAAAUGUGUAAUGCUGAAGCUUCAUUACAGAAAGCUACUUCCCUCCAGUAUUCCAUAUGUUAACAAUGUUGAAAUGUUCGCUUAACCAUGAAACACCUGCAGCAUCAUAACUAUUUUGAGCUACUUAUUUUGUCAUGUGCACGCCUAUGUUGAAACUGAUGAAAGUACUUGCGAUAAGGUGUCAUAGAACACGGGGGAUAUUAAGGUUGGAAAUGUACAAGUACCAAGAGAAUUUUGUUUCUGUUUUUGCCACACAUCUCCGUAACUGUGGCAAAAGUGAAUUUGCUUUUAGAUUUAGAAUCAGUUCUAUUGCAUGUGUAUGUUUAGUAAUCUGAUUAUUGAUAAGAGCCUUCUCUUCCUACCUCAUGGAUUGCAGUCAAAGCGUCUCCCUUAUAGAGAUUAUACAAAGUCAACAUCUUUAAAUCUUUCUGGGUUCUCUCAUAGCUCGUGGAUCGGUGAAAUGCAGCAAGCUUCUGACA